Paramuricea clavata is the source of this 1412-nucleotide non-coding RNA. The record is from the annotation of a GenBank genome assembly. NCBI's taxonomy places the organism in Eukaryota, Metazoa, Cnidaria, Anthozoa, Malacalcyonacea, Plexauridae.
CUUCUGAGUUCCGACUUCUGACUUCUUCUGCCUUUCCAGCUAAACACGGCAAAUCCAAACCGAUUGCUUCGAUUCUGCAUUAAUUUUGCUGAUAACGUCUAAAUAUAUCAUAAUUUUCUUAUCCAGAAUUUCCGAAUUUUGUUUCAUUUUUUUCAAUUUUAUGUUGCCGUGUUUCCAACAGUAUUAUCAUUCUUUGUUAGCAAUACUUAUUUUUGAUAUCUUAUGUAUUUCAGUAGAAAAAAGCUAUGUAUGUUCAACGGGAUGUUCUUUAUCAAAUUUAGCCGUAGGGGACAUUUAAAAAUAAAUUAAAAUUUAAUUUAACAUUUACAUCACUUAUUUCCAAAACUUAGCUCAAGAACUUUCCAAAAUACCAUCCAGAAAAAACAAUCACCAAUAUAAUCAUAUGGAUAAGAAAUUUAUCUAUUUUGGCGAUAAAAUUAACCUUUGGCGAUAAAAUUAAUCCUUGGCGAUAAAAUUAAUCAAAUUGAUAUUGUCAAUUGACAAAAUUUUCAUUAUCCACCACAGUAGAACCCCGGUUACACCGCCAUUUCAAACUUAAGUUAGUUGGCUAAAUUUCAUGAGUCAAGCCUCAAAGGAAAAAAUAAUUAGUUCGAAAAAGCAACGAGUUCGAGUUAUAUGAGUUCAAAAUAACGGAGUAAAGAAGUCCGAACUCAGAAGUCGGAAGUCAGAAGUCAGAAGUCGGAAAUCAGAAAAUUGGAAGUCGGAAGUCAGAAGUGGGAAGUCAGACGUCAGAAGUCGGAAGUCAGAAGUCGGAACUCAGAAGUUGGAAGUCAGAAGUCGGAAGUCGGAACUCGGAAGUCAGAACUCGGAAGUCAGAAGUGGCCCUCCUCGGUCAUGUGGCCCUCCUCGGCCAUCGUAUAGAAGUCAGCCUGUCGGAAUUCGGGACUUUUGGAAAGUUCUUGAGCUAAAUUUUAGAAAUAAGUUAUGUAAAUGUUAAAUUUUAAUUAUCCAAUUUAAUUGUUCCCUACAGCUAAAUUUAAACCGUUGAGACAGUGAAAUCGCAAUGGUGUAGAGAAUAUCUCGUUGAACAUAGUCUUUUUUAUACUAAAUUAUCGAAAAUAACGAUAUCAAAAUAAGUAUUGCUAACAAAGAAUGAAAAUACUGUUGGAAACACGGCAACAUAAAAUUGAAAAAAUGAAAUAAAAUAAUGAAUUCGGAAAUUCUGGAUAAGAAAAUUAUGGUAUAUUUAGACGUCAUCAGCAAAAUUAAUGCACAAUCGAAGCAAUCGGUUUGGAUUUGCCGUGUUUAGCUGGAAAGGCAGAAGAAGUCAAAAGUCGGAGGCAGAAGAAGUCAGAAGUCGGAACUCAGAAGUCAGAAGUCGGAACUCAGAAGUCAGAAGUCAAACUCAGAAGUCAGAACUCGGAAGUCGGAAGUCAGAAGUCAGAAGUGGC